Suricata suricatta (meerkat) is the source of this 187-nucleotide small nuclear RNA. Its record names the gene U2. It matches the Rfam family "U2 spliceosomal RNA". Rfam says of the family: U2 is a small nuclear RNA (snRNA) component of the spliceosome (involved in pre-mRNA splicing). NCBI's taxonomy places the organism in Eukaryota, Metazoa, Chordata, Mammalia, Carnivora, Herpestidae. The record is from Ensembl.
AUCAUUUCUUGGCCUUUUGGCUAAGAUCAAGCAUAGUAUCCGUUCGUAUCAGUUUAACAUCUGAGAUGUCUAUCCGAGGACAAUAUAUUAAGUGGAUUUUUGGAGCAGGGGAUGGAGUAGGAGCUUGGUCCGUCCACUCCAGGCAUCAGCUGGGUAUUGCAGUACCACUGGGAAUGGUGCGCUCCGA